AUGAAGGCGCGUCCUUCUCGUUACGUCAUCAGCGCGAGCCCCAGACCGAGUGGAUCGAUCGAAAUGGAGGAGCAGAGACAUGCGGGUGAUGGAUCACAGAGUAAUCUAAGCCCAGACCAGUUGUGGGAAAUUGGACUCCUGCAAAACCCUGUCACUCCUCCAGUCCUAUCUGAGAUUGCACAAGACGGCGACUGGGACACAGACAGUAUCUCUGACCAGCCGUGGACAGGAAUUGUAGUUCCUCCAGUCGAAUGCCCCUUACUGAAGAACUUAAGGCCCAAAUUCAAACUUUUUUUAACCCAACCUCACACUCUCAAAACUAUGGAAGAGACCAUUAUUUAGUUUUAAAUUUUGUGCUGCUUCAUUCUUAAUUGACACUAAAUCAAUCAUUGAAAUGACUUGUUACCAAAUGAUACAUUUACAAGCAAAUUAACAUCCAAGUCAAUAAAAAACAAAUUUAAGGUGACAUUACAUGCUUGUUUUAUUUUCUGUAUUGGCUAUAUUUAAAGCAGAAAAUGGCUAGUAUAACAACUUGUGUUCUCUUAACACAUUCAUUAAGAUAUACAAUUUUACAUUAUGUAACACGUUGUGUUCUCUACACAUACACAGUAAAUUUCAAAACCAUAAGAACAUUUACCAAUGUAUAAAAGUUUUUAUUUUCCUGAACAUGUACAAUUCCAUACCUUUAGUAUAAUUUUAAAUUCAGUUUAAACCGUUGUCAAAUUGAAUGGCUUGGAUGGGGUUGAUAUUGUCUGAAUUAAAUCAAUUACAUUUUAACAUUAAUUUGUGGGGUUUUUUUUACAAUAUUUAUACUAAAUCAACUCUGUCAGUUCAUACAUAACACAGCUUUCAAUUUCUUGGAGAAAGUCUUGCAGAAAGUUGAUUAUAGCGGUUUCAUAAGUCUCUUGUACUGAUCCCUUCUCCGACAUUUUCGGAAGAAUGUUCUGCAUGAUGAAGUCUGCAUCAGCCUGUGGGAAAAAAAGAAAAACAAUCAUCCAUUUUCAGGUACAUAUGCACAUGCAAAAAAGCUACUUUAUUACCAUUUUCUACUAUUAUUUUUUUUGUAAGGAACAAGUGUUUGACAAUUAUUCUUUAAAUUGGCAAAUAAUAAUUUUCCUAUCUAUAACAUUCCUAAAAUGAAAUACAAGAUAUAGGCAUAUUUUUUUUUUUUCCAGUUACUGAUACCUUAUCAUCAUCAUCCACCACAUCAGGGAAAAAGAACUGGUGGCAAAGUCCUGAAUGGUUUUCCAGGAUUGGAGAGUUCAAGACCUGUUCAGAUUUGCUUCAACAAAGGGACCAAACGUAGAGUUGCAUGAAGCACAAUUGAUCUGGAAAAAGAACCAGAAAAUUAUUGCAUAAUAUAGACAGUGUUGUGGCUAAUCCAUAUAUCUGGUAGGCAGCAAAAUUAAAACCGUUUGCAAGGUUUCAAAUGUAAAGAAGUUAGAAGACUUUUUCUGACCUUAUUAUGGCCUCUUUGUUCUCAGGUUUAACGGCCCCAAUAAAACCACAGUUAAUAAUUUGAUCAUACCAUGCAGAGUGAUCAGUUUCUUCUUCCUCCACCUGAAAAAACAUAAAUAUGUAAACUGUGCGUAGAAAUAAAGGUUUUAUGAAUUUGAAGCAGGAGGCUGCUGCUGCUGACCCUGAGCUGACUGAAUCUGACCAAGGCUUUGGGUCAGAAGACCUAUUCAAUUCUGUGCAGCUGUACAGACAUCAGAAUAUUCUCUCUGUUAAAUAGGUCAUCACAACAUCAUAUAGGAUUAUCUGGAUCAGGUGUUUUAAGCCACAGCUCUGCACAGUUUAGCUCAAACCCCAAUCAAACACAUCUGAUUCAGCUAAUCAAGAUCUUCAGGAUUACUAGAAACCUCCAAAAAGGUGUGGGUUGGAGCUGGUUUGAGCUAAACUGUGCAGAGCUGUGGCCCUCCAGGAAUUGAGUUUCACACAACUGAUCUAGAAUAAGUGCAUUAACAAUGUAUCAUAAACAUCACAGCUUUUAAACAUAGUCUAUAGGGAUGUGACCUACUGUAUAUAAAUAAACUUGUUCGGAAUCAAAAAGAGGUUUAUUUCAAAUUAUGUUUACACAUACAAGGCAUUUGUUUUGUAUUUGUUUUUUGUUUACAGUAUAUUUUGAGAGACACCUUUGGCAUCGUUUAUAGUCCAUAAUACAACUAGGGCGUGGAGAAUAAUAAUUAUUAUUUAUUAAUUAUAAAACAACGUGAAAGGUGUGCAUAUUGAGAGAAAUGUACAGCCGCCGACGCAACCCGCAUUAAUUGAUCUCUAACUUACUUAACUUGAGCAAACGCGUUGAUACACAUAGUUACAUAUAGUUAUCGGUCUAUCUAGCGAACUUGAAGAAAGCGAUCAAUAACACAUACCUGUGAUCCAUCACCCGCAUGUCUCUGCUCCUCCAUUUCGAUCGAUCCACUCGGUCUGGGGCUCGCGCUGAUGACGUAACGAGAAGGACGCGCCUUCAUCCCUUGUACACACCUCAACCUCUUGACCCCUCCCCCACGUCAAAUCAGGGACACAAAGCGAGGCGCAAAGAAAAAAUGAAGCGCAAAGGAAAGCUUGCACCGCAGAGGCACGGAUGACUGAAACGCGGAUUUAAAGGAGCAGCGCAAAGGGAAAUGUGUUGCAAAGUCAUUGCUGUUGAAGUUUUACUUUGCUAAACUUAAUUUUUUCUCUUGUGGUAAACUUUUCUUUUGCAAUUAUUUUUUUUUACUUGCAAAAAAGCAAUUUUUUUCUCAAUACUCUAUUUUUAUUUGCAAAACAUAUUUUUUUUAUUUGCAAAACAUAUUUUUUGUUUGCAAAACAUUGUUUUAUUUUGCAGAUAUAUAUGGCCCUAUUUUGACUCGAUACUGAACCCCUCAAAACUAAUUAG
Molecule: long non-coding RNA, 2878 nt
Organism: Carassius auratus (goldfish)
Lineage: Eukaryota; Metazoa; Chordata; Actinopteri; Cypriniformes; Cyprinidae
Source: Ensembl